ACUGUGAUGUGUGGGGUUGCACAGAGGACUGCUCUGUUCUAUUUCUGCAGAUGUGUUUGAUGAGCUGACCUUCUGUUAACGGUCUUUGGGACUGAGCUGUCAUGUCUCAGAGAUUUGCUUCUUUCGAGCUGUCUCAUCAUUGCCUCAUAAACUGCCAAGUGCCCUCCUGGAUCAUCCAUCAUGUCAGCCAGGGGCAGAGAGUCAUGCAAUAUAGAGGAUGUUGGGACCACUUCUGUGUAUCCACUUCUGUAUCCAAGGAUACAGCCAAGGGGCAGGGCUUGGAAUUUCCAGCCUUCAGCAGCUAUUCCUGUAGGUACUAGCUGAUUUAUAAUAGGUAAUAGACACAAAUGAUAAAACCAGACACUUUCAGAGUUGGAAAGAAUCUUGUCUGUGAUCUAACCUAACUUUCUCAUUUUACAGAAAUAGAGAUGGAGGUCAGAGAUCUCACAGGCUCCCUCAAACAGAACUGCAUCUCAUCUCGAGCCUCCCAGCUCUGUGCCUACAUGCUGCCCCAGACCUCAGGCUGUCCACUGAUGUCAGCAUUGCCUGCACCGGGGUGACCCUCAUUUCUUUGUGCAUCUCCUUCAUCUCUGCCAGCUCUGGGUAUGGAGCUAGGAACAAGUGCUACUUUGUUGGACUGUAUCAGCUGGGAUCAACUUGCUGGACUCUUGUGACAGGGCUGAAAGUUCAGUGGAUGGACUGCUGUUUGGGAAAGUUGGUGAUAGGCCCACAGUAAUCCCAUCCAAGGGUCAUGUCAUCUCCAGCUCCUCCUUGCCUCAUAUCCCCAAAGUCUCCUCUUCUUCUUCCCUGAGUUCCUCCCCUUCUCACCCCAACACAAGAGCUUUUGUGAAAAGCUUAUGUUCCCUGACUAUAGCAGAAUUCUCUUUAAAAGAAAGCUUACCUUUCUAACUCCAAAAGCUUCAUGAGCUAUUUAACGGUAAUUAUAUUUAUUAUGGAUAAUUUUCUAUACAUUCAUCCAGUCUGGGGUGUAUGCCUUAUCCCCCUUUAUGGCUUGAUCAGAAAUUUAAGAUUUUCCUCCCAGCUCACUCUCCUCUCAUACGGAUAUUGUCUAAAAGGAAAUAUAUACAGUGUUCUUAAAUGAUGCUGUCACCUCUCACUCAAGGGAAGGAAAAACUGUUCCAG
RNAcentral lists this long non-coding RNA (1143 nucleotides) under Vulpes vulpes (red fox). RNAcentral describes it as "lncRNA (ENSVVUG00000000842.1)". Lineage: Eukaryota; Metazoa; Chordata; Mammalia; Carnivora; Canidae. The record is from RNAcentral.